RNAcentral lists this ribosomal RNA (253 nucleotides) under uncultured prokaryote. Its description in RNAcentral is "partial 16S ribosomal RNA". It matches the Rfam family "Bacterial small subunit ribosomal RNA", at positions 524 to 776 of the family's 1533-position model. The record is from RNAcentral.
UACGGAGGGGGCUAGCGUUAUUCGGAAUUACUGGGCGUAAAGGGCGCGUAGGCGGUCUGCCAAGUCAGGCGUGAAAUUCCUGGGCUUAACCUGGGGGCUGCGCUUGAGACUGGUGGGCUAGAGGACGGAAGAGGGUCGUGGAAUUCCCAGUGUAGAGGUGAAAUUCGUAGAUAUUGGGAAGAACACCGGUGGCGAAGGCGGCGACCUGGUCCGUUACUGACGCUGAGGCGCGACAGCGUGGGGAGCAAACAGG